GUGGCAGUUAGGUAACAUGACUUUUAAUCAAGUUGUCCGGGGUUCGAAUCCCCGAUGCUUCA
RNAcentral lists this transfer RNA (62 nucleotides) under Blautia producta. RNAcentral's name for it is "tRNA-Ser". The record is from RNAcentral. Lineage: Bacteria; Bacillati; Bacillota; Clostridia; Lachnospirales; Lachnospiraceae. RNAcentral also lists the same sequence under 9 other names.